UCUUCCUUCAUCACUGCUCAGUUGCUUAUCUCCACUUGUUCCUCGUGCCAUGCCUUCACUAGUCUCAUGCCUCCUACCAACACCGAGCUAUGCCAUUUCCUGCGUUUUCACACCAAAGGAGUUCUAAUUAUAAGUAAUGCAAAAUAAAACAAAAUGAAACUAAAAACAUACUAAAAUGCACUUGAGAUGGGCAUAGUUUUCGUGAAUUGAUAUCCAAUAAGUAGGUAUAAAACCUACUUAUCAAAUACCCCCAAACUUGAACUAUUGCUUACCUUAAAGCAAUGCAUACGACAUAAAACACUAAAAAUGCAACUACAUGUUAUGCAACUAGAUUAUGAUGCAAAUGAGUCUCACAUUCUUCCAGCUGGAAUAAAAUUUCGGUCCAAAAAUGCCUCAGUGAAUUAUCCAGAUUAAAGAAUGAAACUUCAAACUAAACCAUAGACAUAAUAUUAUACACUUAAGUAAUCCAUACAUGCUAUAAAAAUGUUGUGUGUGUGUUGUGUUCACCAAAACUUGACUCAAGCACAGAAUACACAUGCUAAACUGCUCAAAACAGAAAAUUGCAGUCUAAAUCAAGAUUUAUGUAUACUAAUGCAACAAAAACUACUCUGACAUAUCAAAAUCAACUAAGGUUCAACAAUGGGUUUAAACAGCUUUAUUUUUACUCACGAGGGCGAUUUUCGCUCUUUACCGCAGUGUUUAUUGCUAUUUUUUUUAUACAGCGAGUGUGUUUUAUGCUCCAUCUCACCCCUUCCAAAGAGUCAAUAAUUCAGCUCAAGAAGGUUUCAAGAUAACUCUCUUUUUUUAUAUAGCAUACCCAUGUGUCCCCAAAGUUUGAUUAUCAAUGUUUUUCAUAGUCCAAAUCAAAUUUCCACAUAAUUCUCUUUUUAAAACCACAUUUCCUAUCAAGCAAUACAACAUAUAACUCUUAUGCCUACAAGCAUUAAUGAACACAUCAGUGCAAACCGAAAGCAUCUAAACAACAUCAUGGAUCACAUCAUGUAAAACGUUAUAUCUAAGCUUAAGAUAUCCAUUAAACUCAACAAUCCUUCAAGAUUCAAAUUCAUCAUUGGUUGGACAUAACUUCCACAAAGCUAGAAUUGCGAGACAUGCAACUAAACAUAUACUAACACAAAUAAUAAUGACUAAAAACAGAAAAAUUUUCUGCAAUUAUUAUCUAACACAUAAACAUGCAAAAUUUAAACUAACAUGCAAACACUACAUGCAACUACCCUACUACCCAAUACCCCAAACUUAAAAUAUUCAUUGUCUCAAUGAAAAAAGGCAUAGGGUUAGAGAAACUCCCCUAUUGAUCAGCUGUACCACCCUCUUCAGGUGGUGAAUCCGGUGGUGGAAAUGGCACGACUGUCCCAAACUGUGGCCACUCGAGCAUAGUCCCCUGCUGCGCAAACGCCUCUGCUAGUGACCUCGUCAAACCCGUAGCAAACGCUGCAAAGUUGUUGUACAUAGCAUCGACCUUUUGCUCCAACCUUCGGAGCUAUCGAUCCCCAGUAGCAGCAGUGGCUUGGGUUGACGUGCCUGCUUGAUCUAUCCUGGAGGGCUGCGAUGAGGGCGUAGACGAGGCUUGACGAAGAAUAAAACCCUUUCCUCUUGGAUGCGGAGUACCCCAUGCCAAUCUUCAAAUCGUGCUAUUGUAGCAUGCGUAAUGUCCUGGCUUGGGAAAUGCAACUGCUCAUCCGUCCACCUAAUUCCUACAUUGGCACACAAAUGAGUCACUAUUGAGGCAUGUGGAAUACUUCCCAUGGUACUUCUCCACAUGUAUCUCAGCAUGUUCUGAUUCAUCAGGUAACCUAUGUUAAUAUCCUUACCCACGAUAAUCCCCCAUAGUAUAAUCGCUCGCUCAACUGUAUUCUCAUGCUAAUGAGAAGAUGGCAUGAGUUUUGCACACACAAACAGAUUCCAUGCCUUUGCAUAAUGAUUGAGAGUGGACGCCGAAAAGGUCUUAGGGUGAUUAGUUCCCGGCGUGCAUGUCCACUGAGUUCCUGGAAUACACAAAUCACUGAUAACAACGUCCAAAUCUAUCUCCAAACGGUCAGCCUCCACCCAAUUUGUUCUUCUUCAAAUCGGAGGGUCGGGUAAAUUGAACACUUGACGAAUAGCCCUUGGUCUGUAGUCCAGUUGAAUUCCACGAAUGAAAGAGAACCCAUUCAUCGUUUCCCUCGCAUUUGCAUAGAACUCCCGCACAACAGCCAUAGGUGCAGCCAAUGGCGUAAAGCACACACCAUGCCAACACCUUUCUCUAAUCAUCUGCACUAACUUUCCAUCCUAUGCAUUUGACUAAAACCCUCGCUCACGAAAAAAUGAUUUCCCAACAAUUCGAUAGUAUUCUAUUUGAGCAUCCAGGUUGACAAAUUUAGAGAAAUAAACAUUGUCACCAUUUUGAAUUCUUAUAGAUGAUGAUUUAGGGGUGCGAGAUCGAGCACACUUAGGACCCAUUUGAAACUGAUAAAGAAGAAAAAAACUUACCUAAUAUAAUCGUGAGUGAUAGUUGAUGAAUUGAAUACCCCCAAACUUAUGUUGCACAAACCCACUGAAACCCUAGUUUUAUCAAUGUAGAUUUUGAUCGUGGGUAGGAGAUCUGAUGAAACAAUCACGUAGUGGAGAAGAGACGUUAUAAUUGCAAUUGGUAAUGGUUUGAAGAUGAGAAGUUGAAAUUCAGAUACGGCACACUUAGAAGGGGGGGUUGAAUAAGUAUGGAUACAAACUAUGAACAAUUUAAAAAUUAAAACCAAACUAUCGAAUAUAGCCUACUAUAUUAAUGAAUGCAACUUACUGAAAGAAUAUAGUCUACUGGAUUGAAUUUUUGUUUAAGAAAAUAUCUUGGUGAUUUUAUAAAUUUCUAUAACAAAAUUUCUCUUAAAGAAUCAAAUAACAAAGGUAAUUAUCUUGAGUAAAAAUAAAUUAAAGCAAGUAAAAAUAACACCAAGAUUUUUUACAUGGUUCAGCUAUUACCCUCUAUAAUAAUAGCCUACUCCACGUCCAAUACCAACUAGUAUUGGAUACUCACUUUUAUUUCUUUAAAAGACUUUUGUUACAAAUCAGAUUCUAUAAAACUGAAUUAUAAAAAUUCACUUGAGCACUCUUGCUCCUUGUGCACCAAUGCACUCCUUAAGCACCUAUGCUUCCUUGAACCUGUUUGUAAACAAACCUUAAUCCACCUGGAUUAAAUUCCCUUAGACAACACUUUGUCUAACAAUUAAGAUUACAAUAAUAGAGGUCUAAUGAUCAAAGAAAAUAAAUAAUUUAACAAUGCAAGGCUCAACUAAUGAAUGCAAUGAUCAAGUAGAAAGAGUAAAAGAUAUCACCAAUAUUAUGCCCACAAAAAUUGCUGAUUAUUAAUCUGAAUAUAAUAGCACAGCAACUGGAAAUAUUUCACCGAAUAAUAAAGUAGCUCUUCAAGUACGUGGUUGCAAAAUAUUAAUUGUAAGUGAUGUAAGUGUUGUAUUUUCUACUGAAAACAAUUCUCCUUUUUAUAACCCAGAAAAACAACUGUUGUGAAAUAAAAUAUUUCUAUUGCCAACAGAUUCAAAGAGAUAAAUAAUAUUCCAAUAUUAUUUCCGUUAAUUCCUCUGAAAUAUCAAAAACCAAUUGUAUUCGAUUGUAAAAAAAUUGUUGGACUCUUUCCAAAAAAAAAACUGUUUCAAGUAGGUAACGUCUCCUGUUGAGACUUUUAAAAUUCCUAUAGCAUUUAAAGUCUGCCGCCCAUAUAUAUAGCAUUAAUAUAGGAAAGAGUAUGAAACAACCUUUUUCAAGAUAAUGAUUACCUUAUAUUUUCAAGACACUUAUCCCACUUUUUUAAAAAGUACUCAUAUCUCAGCCAACCCACUUCAACAACUUUUUAAUUUCCAACAUAUAAAUUUUUCACACGCAUUACAUUAUAACAUCAGUACACAUGAAAAAUUAACAUAAUUCGGGCAAUUCUCUCUAUACAUGCAUAUAUAAAUACUUAGCCAUGCACAUGCAUAUAAAUACGUACUAACUUAGCAAUGUAACAUAAAUAGGUAUGCUAAACAUAUUUAAUUCAAUGCACAAAUAAUAUGUCCUAGAGCCUUGUAUUGAAAAAUUAAAUAUUUGCAAUGACCUUAUAUUUUUCUUAAGACUCAAAUCUUCAAAGUCUCUUGACAGCAAUUCUUUCAUUAACUUCCUAAAAUUUCACAAUAAACACAUUAGUCCAUAUAAUCAAGUCAUCAUCAAAACAAAAAGGUUAGAAUAUGAUCAAACCAACAUUAUCCCCCUUUUUGAUGAUGACAACACCAAAAAUUUAUAUCUCCCCUUGAAUUCAUGCAUAUUUAAAAUUUUAGAAGAUUUAAACAUAAUCAAACUGAUCUUCACCAUAACUUAUCCUGCAAAACGUGUUAGCUGGAAUCAAAUAUAGUAGAGCAGUCAUAAUCAAUUAUAAUAUCUAGUACCGGCUCCAACCAUAUUGUUUUGAAACAUACCAUCCAAACAAAAACUUAAACACUUGAUACCAACCAAAUCGUUUUUAAAACAGUAAAACAUAAAAAAAUCAAAUGUCUUCACAGCAACCCUUCAUCCAACCUCGACAACCCUUCAACUUGUAGCUUGUCUCCCCAUUUGUCAUCACCAAAAAGAUCAUCAAAUAUCAAUAUCAUCAAUAUGAAUCACAGGUAGAGGACGAUUAGUGAAAUAAGGACGAUGGAGAACACGAUGGAUCCUUUCUUCCAUAGAGAAUUCAUGAGCAAACCUAGGAGGACGAGGAAUGAAAGUCUCAUUUGGUAGAGGCAAAUCAAGAAAAUCUCCAAUAUAUUCAGCCAUCCAAUUACACCGAGGCCAUUCCGGAACAGGAGAGUGCAUAGUGUUAAAAUGUAACCUUCUACUUACGUCAUUCAGACGAUGAGCCAUGAAAUCAGCAAAUUCUCCAACUUGAUAACUUACAAAUUUUAGUUCUUGGCUAAGUUGACACGAAUUUCUAUUGAUCUUUCGAUGUAAAGAUUCAACCAUAGCCAUGGUAUGUAACUCGAAAUCAGCUUGUAAAUCAAUGAAUUCAUCCUCAAUUUGUGAAAAACAUUUAGUCAAAUCAUUUGCCCAUAUAGGCAAAUUCCCUUUUUCCAAAAUUGAAAUCCUUUACUUAAUAUCAACAAUGUCAGAUGAAUUCCCGAUUCUUGAGAAUUUGAGACAACAUAUCAACCACUACGGAAGAUGAGACCAAGGAAGGAGGAUGUGAAGAGGAUGCAGAAUUAUAAGUUGGUAAAGCAGAUGAAACAACACUUGGUGGAGUAGGAUCAGUAGUGAGACAUACGAAUGAACCAUCAACAAAAGAAAUAUGAGACUGUUUGAGAUUAGCAGAAUCAAUAAAUUCAUUGUGGGAAACCACAAUUUCAUCAUCAAGACAAAUUUUAAAAUGUUGAAACAACUUUGUCAAAAACAAACUAUAGGGCAGACACGUUUUAGUUUGACAAAUACAACUCAUCAUGUGGGACAACAUCAUAAGAGAAAAAUUAAAACUGACUCCUUUUAAAAUUAUAGCAAUAACAGCCAAAUCUUGAUAAGUGAAGUCUGCUCCAUCACCUAGUCGUGGAAACAGAUUAUACCGAAGGAUUUUGUGCAAAACACAUGCAAGUGGACAGACAUCGACAAUUUUAGGAGUAAACAAAGUUGUCAAAGAUGAAUCAUACAUUACCGUAUAAAGUUGUUCAAGAGGAGGAAAGGGUUUAUUUGUAGCACCCUUAAGAGUAAAUGGACAAGGUCCGGAUGAAGGAAUAUUAAAAAUACUCCAAAGUCUAUUACUGUGAAAAACAUAGAUUUUCCCUUCACAAAGGACGUGUAGCAAUCCCCAUUACACUCUAAGUUAGUAUAAAAUUGCUGUAUCAAAUGAGGAUAUGCCCUAGUUGGGGGAAAAAGCAUAGCAGAAAUACCACAAGACAUGAAAACUUUUUCCAAAGAUGAAUUUUUGAAAUAAAACAAGUCUAAAAUCUUUUCGUAAACAAAUUGUUUAGUAGCGAUGGAAGUUUUAAAACGUGCUUCAAAACUAUGACCCUGAAAGAAAUUAUCUAGUAACUCAGAAGGAGUAGAGAAAGGGUUUACCAGAUUUGUCGGUGAAUCUGGUUGAGAAGGAGGAGGCUCUAAACCAGGAGAGUGAGGAGCUUUUGGUAAGAAAGAGAAGCUUGAAUCAGACCCAUCAGAGCCAUCAGAUGAAACAUGAACUGAUGUCUAGCUUUUGGACUUCUUCGGUGAUCGUAUAUUAUAAGGAGAUCGAGAAUGAGUUCUGUCUUUGAUUGUUACUCCGGAUGGACGCUUGUUUGAUCGAGUCUUCAUGCUCGUUGUUGAAAGUUGAACCAGCCGAGAAAUAGAGAAAUAUCAGAGAAUUAGAGUGAGAGAAAAAAAAUGAACGCUCUUCCUUUAAUAAUAAAGUGUUAGACUCCGAAAAGACUCCUUGAAAUAAUAAAUCUCUACCUUUAGUCUUUUCAAAUUUCUAAUCUCAUUAUGAUAGAUACCGUGAAUCGUGCUAGUGCAGAUACGCCUUCUUUGCCAGUUACAUACAGAUAAUGUCUAUCAACAAAACAUAGUUAAAAUAAUAACAUGCAGUUAUGAAAUAUUUUAUGCAUGACUUAUUUUAGUACGUGACCAUAUUAUACCAAGCACAGUCCAAGUUCUCUUCUCAACAUGCAAAACCUUUCUUCACUUAAUGGUUUAGUAAAAAUGUCAGCCAAUUAUUUCUCUGUAGGAAUAAAAAUUAAUUUUAUUAAUCCUUUUGAAACAUUAUCCCUUAAGAAAUGAUGCCUAACCUCUAUAUGUUUUGUACGUGAAUGCAAAAUAGGAUUUUUUUUAUAUGUCAAUAGCACUAGAAUUAUCGCAAUAUAUAGACACAUUAUUGCAUAUUAUAUCAAAAUCACAUAAAGUUUGUUUCAUCCAUAAUAUUUGAGAGCAACAACUCCCUGAAGCUAAAUAUUCACCCUUAGUGGUUGAUAAAGCAACUGAGGUUUGUUUUUUACUAUGCCAUGAAACAAGACUGUGUCCCAAAAAUGUACAAGCACCACUUGUACUUUUUCUAUCAAUUUGAAAUCAUGCAUAGUCAGCAUCUGAAUAACCCAUUAGUUCAAAAUGAUUACUUAUUGAAUAAAAUAACCCUAAAUUUAUAGUACCACUUAAAUAUUUAAAAAUUCUUUUAACCGCUUGUAAGUGGGAUUCUUUGGGUUUUGCUUGAAACCGAGCACAAAGACAUACACUGAACAUUAUAUCAGGCCUAGAUGCAAUUAAAUAUAACAAAGAGCCAAUCAUACCUCGAUAUUUGGUUAACUCUACAUCUAUACCUUUCUCAUCUGAUGUGAGCUUUAUUGAUGUACUCAUUGGUGUAGUCUUAGGAUUGGACCCUUCAAAACCAAAUCUUUUGGGUAGCUCUUUUGUGUACUUGGUUUGAUGAAUAUAGAUCCCUUCCUUUGUUUGCUUGAUUUGAAGUCCCAAAAAGUAAUUUAGCUCACCCAUUAAGCUCAUAUCAAAUUCAUUAUGCAUACACUUUGAAAACCACUCACAAAGAAAAUCAUUAGUAGCAUCAAAUAUUAUAUCAUCUACGUAUAUUUGAACAAUGAUUAUUUCUUGUUUUUCAUGUUUAAUAAAUAAUGUAGAAUCUAUUUUACCUCUAGUAAAACCACUUGAAAUAAGAUACUUACUCAACCUCUCGUACCAAGCCCUUGGAGCUUGUUUGAGACCAUAGAGAGCUUUCUUUAGCUUAAAAACAUGAUUUGGAUAUUUUUCAUGUUCGAAUCCAGGAGGUUGUUUGACAUAGACUUCUUCAUUAAUGUAUCUAUUAAGAAACGCACUCUUUAUAUCCAUUUGAUAAAGCUUGAAUUUCUUGUAACAAGCAAAUGCUAACAAGAUCCGAAUAGAUUCUAGUCUUGCAACUGGAGCAUAAGUUUCUUCGUAGUCGAUUCCUUCUUGUUGAUUGUAACCUUGAGCCACUAGCCUUGCUUUGUUGCGAGUGAUUGUCCCAUGCUCAUCGAGCUUGUUUUUAAACACCCAUUUUGUUCCAAUAACAGAAACAUCUUUAGGAGGGGGCGUUAAUUCCAAAACUUGACAUCGUUCAAAUUGUUGAAGUUCCUCUUGCAUUGCCAUUAGCCAAUUUUCAUCAAGUAUAGCUUCCUUAGCAUUCUUUGGCUCAACUUGUGAUAAGAAUGCAGAAAANNNNNNNNNNNNNNNNNNNNNNNNNNNNNNNNNNNNNNNNNNNNNNNNNNNNNNNNNNNNNNNNNNNNNNNNNNNNNNNNNNNNNNNNNNNNNNNNNNNNNUUAGCAUCAAAUUUUCCCAAAUUAUCACUAGUAUUGAGAAUAAAGCAUUUAGAUCCAAAAACUUUGAAAUAACUUAUAUUCAGAAUUUUAUUAUUUAACAAUUCAUAAGGUGUUUUCAAAAUAAUUGGACGAAUGAGUACUCUAUUUAAAACAUAACAUGAUGUGCUUACCGCCUCGGCCCAAAAAAUUUUUGGAAGCUUAAUCUCUUGUAGCAAUGUUCUAGCAGUUUCUUGUAAUGUUCUAUUCUUCCUUUCCACUACUCCAUUCUGCUGAGGAGUUCUUGGAGCUGAAAACUCAUGGCUUAUUCCUUUUUGAUCACAAAAUAUAAUAAAAUCCUUUUGAAAUUAGGUACCAUGAUCACUCCGAAUUUUUAUAAGCUUGAGACUAUACUUAGUCUCUAAAUUUCUUAUCAAUUUCUCAAAUUCUUUAAAUGCUUCAUCUUUGGUUCUCAAAAAUAAUACCCAUGUAUAUCUAGAAAAAUCAUCAACUAUGACAAAUGCAUAAAAUUUACCAUUAAUACUAGCAUGCCUUUCUGGGCCAAAUAAAUCAAGAUGAAGUAAUUGUAAAGGAGUAGAGGUUGAUACCAUCUUCUUUGCACUGAAUGAUGUUCUUACUUAUUUUCCAAGUUGGCAAGGAACACAUAUUCCCUUCUUUUCAUACUUUAUCUUUGGCAAACCUUUGACAAGAUUCUUUGAGGACAAUUUCUUGAUUAAAUCCAUGUGAACAUGUCCCAUCCUCUUGUGCCACAGAUUAGCCUCAUCUUGCACAGAUGAAAGAUAUAAUUCUUCAUCUUGUUUCUCAAAGUCAAUAGUAUAUAUAUUUCCUUCUCUUUGUUCAACUAAAGUAACAUUGUCAGUACCAUGAGAAAUAAUGCAUUUUUCUUUAUCAAAACUGACUUGGUGACCAUUGUCCAUUAAUUGACUGAUACUAAUAAGAUUAAAUUCAAGUCCGUUAACAAGGUGUACAUUAUCAAUAUUUACCUUACCAUUUCCUAUUUUACCUUUUCCGAUUAUCUCGCAUGUUCGAUUAUCUCCAAAUGUAACUUUACCAUUUUUCUUCUUGAUUUUUAGCUCCACGAACUUUGUUUUGUCACCAGUCAUGUGACGCGAGCAUCCACUAUCAAGAAUCCACUUUUGAGAUUGAACCCUUGCCUUGAGACAUACCUGUCAAGAAAAAAUAAUUCAUCCUUUUGGUACCCACAUCUUUUUGGGUCCUUUAGUGUUAGUUGCAAGUAAAUCAACCUUUUUAACCCAUACCUUUUUAAUCUUAUUUUUCUUAAAGCAAUAUAUGUCCAAGUGACCUUUAAUACCACAGUUUUUGCAUGUUGUGAAAGGAGAACAGUAAUUCAAUUUGAAAUAAGAGUGGGAUUAUAACCUAUUCCUUGUCUAUCAAAACUAGGCCUUUGCUUUCCUAACAUGACAGUUAGAUUUUCUUCUCCUUGAACAAAUCUAGCAAGAGAUAUUUUUAAUGAAUCUACUUCCUUUUGAAGUUCAUUAGUAUGAAUGGGUUUAAACUGGGAUUCAUUACUAAAAGCAUCAAUACAUACAUCUCGCAUUUUCAGUUUAUUAGUCAAUUUUCCAACCUCAUUGUUCAAGUAAGUCACCUUGUUAAAAAGGAUUUUGUUAUAAUUCUCAAGAUAAUCAUUUUUAGCAAUCAAAACCUUUUCUUCUUUACAAAAUGACUCCUUUUCAAUUUCCUUCUUUUCAUCUAUCAAAGAAUCAACUUCACACAUUAAUGUAUUUACUAAGUCUUUCAAAUAUGCAUUCUUUUCUUUUAAUCUAGCAUUUUCUUGUUUCAAAGAAUUAAAAUCAAAAUCAGAUACCUCGUUUGAUUCACCUUUUAUUCCCAUGAAACAUACUUGAGCUAUCUCAUCCUUGGCGUCGACCUCAACCUCAUAUUCUUAUUCAUCACUCCAAGUGAUUAAUGCCUUGUUUCUUUUAUUAUCCUUGAAGCCUGUUUUUCCUUUAUUCUUUAGUUGAAAACAGUCCUUCUUGAAGUGCCCUGGACGUCCACAUUCAAAACACGUCUCUUUAGUUUGCUUUCCUUUACCUUUAUUUGAGUUGAAGAUAUUCUUUCGUUUAUUCUUCCUUUGUAGAAGUCAUUGAGUCUCCUUGACAUCAUGGCUAUCUCUUCGUCAGAAUCAUCAUCAAGCUCUUCUUCAUUUCCUGUAUUAAGAGCUAGAACCUUUCUACGAGGAGUUUCAUCCUCAUCAUCAUACCUCUUUAACUGAUGUUCAUAUUCCUCAAGUUCACCAAAAAAGGUCAGUGUAUCCAUAGUAGAUAUAGUAGAGGAAUCUUGAAGAGUAGUAAUUUUAGAUGUAAACCUCUUGGGCAUAGCCCGAAGUAACUUACGAUUAAUCUCACUUUGUGGAAUAGAUUUGUCAAGUAGCUUUAAGGAGUUCAGAAGAACAAGAAACCUUGUUUGAGCCAUCUUUAUAGUUUUAUCUUUCUCGAGUUUGAACAUUUCAUAAUCAUGCAUGAGCAUGCUUAGUUUAACUUCUCGAACUUUUGAUGUUCCUUCAUGACUUACCACUAGAGUGUCCCAAAUUUCCUUAGUUGUGUUGCAUGAGGAUACUUUGUCAAUCUCGGACUGCACCAUGCCGCUUAGUAGAGUAUUCAUAGCCCUUGAGUCAUAGGAGACCAUGAAGGUUUCAGUUGAAUCCAUCUCUAGCAAAGUCUUUGGAGUACCGUCAUCUUUCCUUGGAAUAACUGGUCCAUUCUCCACAACCCACCAUUCCCAAGUAUCUCUUUUAAGGUAGAUCCUCAUUCGGAAUUUCCAGAAGUUGUAGUUUUCUGUUCCAUGCAGCAGUGGAGGUCUAUUGGUUGAUUGACCUUCUUGAUUGUUGUUUCUGAACUAUGCCAUGUCAGAAUCUUUCCCUACAAGUAACCUUUAAGACCAAGUAAGUAGAGCCAAGCUUUGAUACGAAAUGAAAUUCAGAUACGGCACACUUAGAAGGGGGGUUGAAUAAGUGUGGAUACAAACUAUGAACAAAUUAAAAUUUUAAACCAAACUAUCGAAUAUAGCCUACUUUAUUAAUGAAUGUAGCUUACUAAAAGAAUAUAGUCUACUGGAUUGAUUUUUGUUUAAGAAAAUAUCUUGGUGAUUUUAUAAAUUUCUAUAACAAAAUUUCUCUCAAAGAAUCAAAUAACAAAGUUAAUUAUCUUGAGUAAAAAUAAAUUAAAGCAAGUAAAAAUAACACCAAGAUUUUUUACGUGGUUCAGCUAUUACCCUCUAUAAUAAUAGCCUACUCCACGUCCAAUACCAACUAGUAUUGGAGACUCACUUUUAUUUCUUUAAAAGACUUUUGUUACAAAUCAGAUUCUAUAAAACUGAAUUACAAAAAUUCACUUGAGCACUCUUGCUCCUUGUGCACCAAUGCACUCCUUAAGCACCUAUGCUUCCUUGAACCUAUUUAUAAACAAACCUUAAUCCACCUGGAUUAAAUUUCCUUAGACAACACUUAGUCUAAAAAUUAAGAUUACAAUAAUAGAGGUCUAAUGAUCAAAGCAAAUAAAUAAUUUAACAAUGUAAGGCUCAACUAAUGAAUGCAAUGAUCAAGUAGAAAGAGUAAAAGAUAUCACAAUAUUAUGCCCACGAAAAUUGCUGAUUAUUAAUCUGAAUAUAAUAGCACAGCAGCUGGAAAUAUUUCACCGAAUAAUAAAGUAGCUCUUCAAGUAAGUGGUUGCAAAAUAUUAAUUGUAAGUGAUGUAAGUGUUGUAUUUUCUACUGAAAACAAUUCUCCUUUUUUAUAACCCAGAAAAACAACCAUUGUGAAAUAAAAUAUUUCUGUUGCCAACAGAUUCAAAGAGAUAAAUAACAUUCCGAUAUUAUUCCCAUUAAUUCCUAAGAAAUAUCAAAAACUAAUUAUCUUCGGUUGUUAAAAAAUUGUUGGACUCUUUCCAAAAAAAAAAACUGUUUCAAGUAGGUAACGUCUCCUGUUGAGACUUUUCAAAUUCUUAUAACAUUUAAAGUCUGCCGCCCAUAUAUAUAGCAUUAAUAUAGGAAAGAGUAUGAAACAACCUUUUUCAAGAUAAUGAUUACCUUAUAUUUCCAAGACACUUAUCCCACUUUUUUAGAAAGUACUCAUAUCUCUGCCAACCCACUUCAACAACUUUUUAAUUUCCAACAUAUAAAUUUUUCACACGCAUUAUAUGAUAACAUCAGUACACAUGAAAAAUUAACAUAAUUCAGGCAAUUCUCUCUAUACAUGCAUAUACUUAGCCAUGCACAUGAAUAUAAAUACGUACUAACUUAGCAAUGUAACAUAAUUAGGUAUGCUAAACAUAUUUAAUUCAAUGCACAAAUAAUAUGUCCUAGAGCCUUGUAUUGAAAAAUUAAAUAUUUGCAAUGACCUUACAUAUUUUUCUUAAGACUCAAAUCUUCAGAGUCUCUUGACAGCAAUUCUUUCAUUAACUUCCUGAAAUUUCACAAUAAACACAUUAGUCCAUAUAAUCAAGUCAUCAUCAAAACAAAAAGGUUAGAAUAUGAUCAAACCAACAUAAGUCGUGCGUGUUGUGGAGAACAAGGGAAGACGUCUCUCUGUGUAUUUCAAAUGAUGGAAUAUAUGUAUUAAUACACGUCUUUAAAACCCAAUUUUUUUUUCAAAAUCCGGUGACGGGCGCGGCCGCGCGGCUUCUUAAUGGGAAAUUGGCGCGGGCGCGCGAGUACAUUUUUUUUGUUAUACAGACAUGUAGCGUGGGCGCGCGGUUUUGUACUGCUAUCAUAGCGCGGGCGCGCUGGGUUGCAUUCUGUAAUCUCAUUCUGCAUCUCCAAAUUAUUAAAAUAGUGAUUACUCCACUCCAAUACACCUGUGCAAUCAACAAUUAUCAAUAUAAGAUAACAAUCCUUCAAAAUCACACACGAACUGAUGAUUACACACUAACUAAUUUCACCUGAUAAAAAUUUCACACUAACUAAACUAUAACAUCUAAUCAUGCAAAUGAUACAUCAAAUAGAAUGUAAAAUAGAAUUAAACAAGAGGUACAGAUAGAAGUAAUGGGUUGCCUCCCAUCCAGCGCUAAGUUAUAGUCAAUUAGCUUGACUAUCUCUGAUUCAAUCACGUCGAAGAAAGAAUUGAGGUGACUUUUUGUCUGUCAACCUCGCCACCAAAGUAAUUCUUCAGCCGCUGUCCAUUCACUUUAAACGGCUUGUCUGGGAACUUAUUGAACACUUCUACUGCACCAUGUGGGAAAACUGUCUUCACUGUGAAUGGCUCUGACCACCUUGAUUUGAGCUUCCCAGGAAAAAAGUUUAAGUCUGGAGUUGAAAAGCAAAACUCUUUGUCCCGACUCAAAUGUUCUCUCUAUUAUCUUGUGAUCAUGCCAUUUCUUCACCUUUUCCUUGUACAUCUUGGAGUUUUCAUAUGCCUGUAAUCGGAAUUCAUCCAACUCAUUGAGUUGGAAUAGGCGUUUCUCUCCUGCAGCUUUCAAAUCAAAAUUGAGCUUCCGAAUCGCCCAAUAUGCCUUAUGCUCUAGCUCCAUAGGAAGGUGACAAGCUUUGCCAUAAACUAGCUGAAAAGGUGACAUGCCCAAUGGAGUCUUGUACGCAGUCCUAUACGCCCAAACAACAUCAUCAAGCUUUAAGGACCAAUCCUUUCUAGUGGAAUUCACAACUUUUUCUAGAAUUCUUUUAGCUUCCCGAUUUGAAACUUUUGCUUGGCCAUUCAUUUGUGGAUGAUAAGCUGUAGCAAUGCGAUGAUUCACCCCAUACUUAGCCAACAGAGCUAUGAACUGCCUAUUACAAAAAUGACUGCCUUCAUCACUAAUGAUAGCCCUUGGAGUCCCAAACCUCAUGAAGAUACUUCUCUGUAAAAACUUUAGGACCACCUUGGCUUCAUUUGUUGGAAGAGUUCCCAUUUCCACCCACUUUGACACAUAAUCCACUGCUAGCAAGAUGUAUAGAUUUCCAAAUGAAGAAAUGAAAGGACCCAUGAAAUCUAUCCCCCACACAUCAAAAAUUUCCACUUCGAGGAUUGUGUUCAAGGGCAUUUCAUUUAUUUUUGAAAUGUUCCUGACUCUUUGACAUUUGUCACAUCUCUGGACGAAACUGUAUGCAUCCUUGAAAGUUGUUGGCCAGUAGAAUCCUGCUUAUAGCACUCUAGCCGCUGUUCGCUCUCCAUCGUAGUGACCCCUAUACAAAGAAGCAUGACAAUCCUGCAAAAUCCCCUCUAUCUCACUAUAUGGGAUACACCUUCUUAUCAUCUGAUAAGCACAUUGUUUGAACAAAUAUGGUUCAUCCCAUAUAAACCAUUUAACAUCAUGUAGGAAUUUCUUCUUUUGAUGACCCACCAAGUCAGAAGGUAUCAUCUUACUCACCAAGUAGUUCGCGUAGUCUGCAAACCAUGGCACUUCCCCUUUCACCACAAAUAACUGUUCAUCUGGAAAGGAUUCAUUAAUUACAACUUUGUUGUAUGCCUCCCUUUUCGGAUUCUCUAGUCGAGAUAAGUGGUCCGCCACUUGGUUCUCAGUUCCCUUUCUGUCCUUGAUCUCUAAAUCGAAUUCCUGCAACAAUAAUAUCCAUCUGAUCAAACGGGGCUUUGCAUCCUUCUUUACCACUAAGUCAAAUUAUCGCGUGAUCCGUGUACACUAUCACCUUUGUACCAAUCAGAUACGCUUGGAAUUUAUCAAAGGCAUACACAACUGCCAGUAAUUCUUUCUCUGUGGUGGUGUAGUUCAACUGUGCAUCUGUAAGGGUCUUGCUGGUAUAGUAGAUAACAUGAAAAAUCUUUUCCUUUCUCUGACCCAAAAUAGCCCCCACAACAUAAUCACUAGCAUCACACAUUAAUUCGAAUGACAAAUCCCAAUCUGGUGCAGUAAUGAUUGGUGCUGAAGUUAAUUUCCCCUUCAAGUGCUCAAAUGCUGACACACAAGCCUCAUCAAAUUUGAAUUGUGCAUCUAUCUCCAAUAAACUACAUAGUGGUUUAGUUAUCUUGGAGAAGUCUUUUAUGAAUUUGUGGUGAAAGCCUGCAUGUCCAAGAAAACUUUGAACACCUUUUACUGAAGUAGGUGGUGGCAAAUUCUCAAUAGUUUCUAGUUUAGCCCUGUCCACCUCAAGUCCCUUCUUCGAAACCUUGUGUCCCAGAAUUAUUCCUUCUUGUACCAUAAAAUGGCACUUUUCCCAAUUCAGUACUAAAUUUGUUUCAACACACCUUCUCAAGACCAUCACCAAAUUAUUAAGGCAUAAAUCAAAAGAAUCCCCAAAUACCGAGAAAUCUUCCAUGAAUAUGUACCUCCACACUCUGUUCCACCAUAUCCGAAAAAAUAGCCAUCAUGCAUCUCUGAAAGGUGGCUGGAGCAUUGCACAACCCGAAAGACAUCCUUCUGAAAGCAAAAGUACUGUAUGGACAUGUAAAGGUUGUCUUUUCUUGGUCCUCUGGAGCUAUAACAAUUUGGUUGUAGCCUGAAUAUCCGUCCAGAAGAUAAUAAUACUCAUGACCCGCUAGUCUAUCCAACAUCUGAUCGAUAAAUGGCAGUGGGAAGUGAUCUUUCCUUGUAGCUUUAUUAAGCCUUCGAUAGUCCAUGCAGACUCUCCACCCCGUCACUGUUCGUGUUGGAAUCAACUCAUUAUUCUCAUUAAAAACCACGGUCAUACCACCCUUCUUUGGUACACAUUGCACUGGGCUCACCCAUGAACUAUCUGAAAUUGGAUAAAUUAUGCCUGCAUCCAGCCAUUUCAGUACUUCUUUCUUGACCACUUCCUUUAUGAUCGGAUUAAGUCUCCUUUGUUGUUCCACUGACGACUUACUAUCAUCUUCUAACAGGAUCUUAUGCAUACAAAAAGAAGGGUUGAUCCCUUUUAUAUCUGCUAUAGUCCAUCCAAUAGCUGACUUGAACUCUCUAAGAACUCGUAGCAGUUUUAAUUCCUUAAGAGAUGUUAGCGCAGAAGAAAUAAUAACAGGUAACUUUGAAUUUUUAUUUAAAAAUGCAUACCUCAAAUGGUCUGGAAGUGGUUUCAAUUCAAGUUCUGGAUGUGUCUCAAGAGAUGGCUUCAAUUUCACUAACGUCUCUCCAUCUUUCUUCAAUGGCUCAACAGGAGUUUUGAACUUUCUGAAUUGUGGAGUAGUAUCAAGAAAGUGCACAAGUUCUUCAAAUUCCUCAUCCUCUAAUUCUGAAUUUCCAGCAAUAACACUUCUCAAUGGUUCAUGAUCCACCAGACUCUCUACUUCAUCAUUUAGGACCUGGUCCACCAAAUCAACCCUGAAGUAUUCCUCUUUAUCUGUCGGAAACUUCGUUGCCUUGAAUACGUUAAAGGUAACCUCCUGAUAAUGAACACGCAUAGUGAGUUCCCCUUUCUGAACGUCUAUCAAGGUCCUUCUUGUGGCUAGGAAUGGUCUUCCCAGUAUGAUUGGUAUACUCUUAUCGUCUUCAUAAUCUAAAAUGAUGAAAUCAGCUGGAAAGAUGAAUUUAUCCACUUUUACCAAUACAUCUUCAACAAUUCCCCAUGGAUAAGUGAUGGAUCUAUCAGCUAACUAUAGAGAAAUAUUUGUCAGCCUUGUAGCCGGCAAUCCCAACUGAUUGAAUACUGACAAGGACAUCAAAUUGAUACUUGCCCCCAAGAUCACACAAACAUUUUCUGAAGCUCAUCUUUUUGAUUGUGCAUGGAAUUGUGAAACUUCCCAGAUCCUUCAGCUUUGGAGAUAAUUUGCGCUGAAGCACUGCACUGCAUUCCUCUGUCAAGGCCACUAUCUCAAAAUCUUCUAAUCUCUUCUUCCUUGACAAUAUACCCUUCAUGAACUUUGCAUAACUUGGCAUCUGUUCCAAUGCCUCAACGAAGGGUAUGUUAAUCUACAGCUUUUUAAAGACCUCAAAAAACUUGCUAAACUGCCUAUCUUCCCUCUGCUUUAUUCAAUCUAUGUGGAUAAGGUACUGGAGGGUGAACUAGUGGUAUUUUAUUGUCGGGCUUCUCAACUGAACCUACUUUAUUAUCCUCUUCUUGCUGUUGUCCAGAACCUUCAUUAUUUUCUUUCUUCUCAGACAACUUUUCUAUCUCGCGCGGCCGCGCGUCCUCCCCUUGUAAACAUGGCGCGGGUGCGCCUGACUGAUUUUCUGCAACCUAUUUCCCAGACCUGAGUGUGAUCACCUGACAUUGUUCCUCCCCUUCUCUUCUUGGAUUUGCCUCCGUAGUACUUUGAAAUGAACCCUGGGGCCUAUUGUUAAGCAUGCUCGCCAUCUAACCCAUUUGAGUUUCCAGAUUUUUAAUAGCCACUGCUUGGCUUUUAAUCAUCACCUCUAUGUUUUCCAUAUACUUCAACAUCAUCUCCUCAAUUUCUGAUUUCUUUUCUUGCUGAGGUGCAGAUGGAGUAUGAUGUUGUUGUUGAUAAAAUCUAGGUGGAUAAGGUGGUCUUGGUGUAAACUACUGCUGAGCUAGCUGUGACUGAAAUUGGUUAUUCGGUUGAAACUGACUCUGUUGAUUUCCUUGAUUAUUUGACCAAUUGAAGUUUGGAUGGUUGCGGUUGUUGGAGUUAUGUGUGUUCUAAAAUUGUCCUUGAUCCUUCCUAUAGUUUCUCACAUACGUUACAGACUCCGAGCUGAUAGCACAUUGAUCCAUUUAGUGUGACCCUGCACAAAUUUCACACACCAAGGCAACUGUCUUCACCUUGGUCUCUGUCAAUGAAUAAAUUUUCUUCGCCAUGGAUGCCAUCUGUGCUGACAAUUGAGUGAUUGCAUCCACUUCCAACAAACCUACAACUUUGGGUUCUGGCAUCUUGGUUGUAGGGUUUUGAAAAUCAUUUGUUGUCAUUGUCUCAAUAAGGUUAUAGGCCUCUUCAUAAUUUUUUCCCCAUAAAGCUCCUCCUGCAGCUGCAUCUACAAUCGGCCUUGACUGCCAUCCCAAUCCAUUAUAGAAUGUGUUGAUAACCAUCCAAUCUGGCAUGUCAUGGUGUGGACACUUCCUUAGCAUCUCUUUGUAUCUCUCCCAAGUUUCAUAUAAAGAUUCACCAUGUUGUUGCUCGAACUGGGAAAUUGAUGUCCUCAUCUUUGCAAUCUUAGCCAUUGAGAAAAACUUGGCUAAGAAUUUUUGUGCUAGGUCCUACCAUGUAGUUAUAGAUCCCGAAGGUAAAUAGUGAAGCCAACUUCUCGCUUUAUCUCUCAAUGAAAACGAAAAUAAUCUGAGUCUGAUAGCAUCCUCCGUCACCCCGUUAUAUCUGAACGUGUCAUAUAUCUCAAUAAAACUCAACAGGUGCUCAUUAGGAUCAUCUAUAGCAGCACCCCCAAAUUGUACUAAAUUUUGCACCAUUUGAAUAGUGCCCAAUUUUAUCUCAAAGGUGUUGGCUGCUAUAGCUGGCCUGACUAUACUUGACUGAAGUCCAUUAAUAUUAGGCAUUGAAUAAUCUCUCAAAGCCUUGUGCUCCUCUUUGUGCUCUUCUUCCGCCAUAUUAGAUGUCGUGGUCUCUAAGGCUGCUUGUAAAUUUCUACGCACUUUUGUUUUCCAACCUCUUCCGUUAAUAUUAUCCUGAGCAGAUGUUAACUCGGGAUUGGAUGACCGUGUGCGCAUAAAAAUAUAUACAAGUACCUGAAAUAGAAAAAAAUCAAAAAUAUAAAUGAGAUAAGAUUAGAUUUGUCUAAGUCAUACAAUAUAGUUUAAAACUGAUGAUAAUAAUAAUAAUAAAUUUAAACGCCUUUCCCCGGCAACGGUGCCAAAAACUUGUCGCCUCCUUUUUAGUUCUAAUAAAAGGACUCUAACUCAUGCAAGCAUACAUGAGUCAACAAGUAGUAUAGAGUAAGAAAAGUAUCGAUCCACGGAGAAAGAUUUCAAAAUUAAAUUAUUAGGCAUCAACUAUAUCACUAUGUUUAUAUGCUUAAAUGAAUGCUAUAAUUUUGAAUGAAUCUAAACUCAAGUAAUAAAUAAAAGAAGAAUGAUAGAAUAAUAAAUUAAAUUUGGAAAUAAUGGAAUUCUAACUUCAUUUAAUAUUUCAUCUAAAUACUACCAUCAUGCAAGAUUAUUCAUGUAUCACGGAAAAUUAGCCAAGAGCACAAAAACUAGACAUAACCAUUUUUCAAUGUAUUAUGACCUACUUACAUAACCUCCACAUGCAAUAGAAAUCAUGUAAUCAUCAAUAAAACCAAAAUCACUAUAUUUCUAUGUGAAAUUGUAGCAAUAUUGAAUUGAAGCACAAGCUCUUAUGUUACCACACAUGGUGAAACAGUAUAUUUCUAUCUGAUUCACGAAAUAUAAAGCUAGACAUUUCAGCCUCAUACACGCAUGCUAUCAUGAUUACAACCAUACUCGCAUGUCAUUUUUCAAUUCCAUACAAGUACAUAAAAUGAAUGGUGAUCAAACAUUCAUGCAAUCCAAUCAAUUAUAAUAGAAAUUCUGAUGAUACACAAACAAUCAAGCAAUCAAUUUUAGACUACAUAUCAAAGUCCGUUAGAAUCCCAUAAUGGAAUUUAGUUCAUUUCUGAACCGAAAGCCAUUAUGGGAUUAUAGCAAAACAUGGAAAAUAAUUAAGGCAAUUGAAAGAGAAGAUAGAAUUGAUCAAACCCAAUUACAGUUUAUGUUCCAAAACGUUGUUCUAAUCUCCAAUGAUUUCCAGCAUAAAAGUAGUUCUUAUUCAAUGAUCGAAUUCUAAAGAAGAGGUAGAAAAUCUUAAGUCUAUGCUUAAAUCCUCUUUGGAAAUUCGUUCAACGCGUAGAACCCUAGUUCUCUAGUCUAAAAACUAAUAAAAAUAAUAAUAAUUCACGUCUGGUACCAACCAGAGUAGUGUAGAUCAAUUAAAACAAUUCAAUUUCAAAUUCAAAAGUAAGUCAAAACAACAACAUUCAAUGACUCGCGUGGUCGCGCGCGAUCCCUAUACAAAACAGGCGCGGACGCGCGUGUAUACGUUUCCAGCGUCUGCAGGUGGAUGGCGCGGGCGCACGAGUUUCAGCUUGUGCAGCCGCGCGGCUUCUGUGCUCUGCAUCCUUGAGUUUUGCUGUUGCUGCUUCUGUGUCAACCUGUUAAUACUUCUUCCUUCAUCACUGCUCAGUUGCUUAUCUCCACUUGUUUCUCGUGCCAUGCCUUCACUAGUCUCAUGCCACCUACCAACACACCAGAGGAGUUCUAAUUACAAGUAAUGCAAAAUAAAAUAAAAUGUAACUAAAAACAUACUAAAAUGUUUUCGUGAAUUUAUAUCCAAUAAGUAGGUAUAAAACCUACUUAUCAGAACCCCCCAAAACGAGCCUAGGCUCCGGCCCAAGGGACUCAGAUGCCCGACCCCGAACAUCAUCAAACCGAACAGGACUCCGACUCAGAGGACUUGGAUGCCUGAACACGAACACCCCCAAUCCCCUUGUUGGCUUAGGCCCAUUGGGCUCAAUAUACCCUUCUCAACACAUGCCUUCAGCCCACUUAGAGAUCGGUAAAAUACUCCCGAACAUUGCCCCCCCCUCCCCCAAGUUUUUUUGGGCCAGGCACUAGAAGACCAAGAUGGCUAAUGUCUAUUAUGAAGAUAAACAUUAGCUAAUGAUUAUUGAGCUAAAUUCAUUAGAAUACCAAGUGGGCCUUACAAAAAAUAGAAUAGUCUAAAAUUUUAAUGUUCUAAUCAGAGUGGUUGUUGCUUAGUAUAAUAUUAUUGACUAAUGACUAUUGUGAAAAUAAUUUCAGGAGUAGAUAUUUUUCCCAUUUUUCCAUUUAGUAUAAUAGAUGAAUUUUGUUAUUUGAAAGAACGUCGGGUGCAAUUCUAAAGAAACUUUGAUAUGUUCUAAAAGAAUUUUUUUUGCUAUGUUUUGUUGUCUUUGUCAAAGAAAAUUAUAUUACUACAUUAUCUUUGUUUUAGCAAAAAUAUAUUUUGUAAUAGUAGAAUUUUACUUUUUAGUGAUAAAUAUAUAUUAUGUUGUUAAAAAAAAUUUGGCCCCCAAUAUCGAAUCCUGAAUCCGUCCCUGAAGCUCAUGUUGUAGUUGAGAUAUUCCUCGAUGGAAGAAACUUCCCAUUUAUUCAUGGGGUAGUUUAUUUCCGCUAUAAGUUUUGCAAAUUCUUUGUUAACGAUAGGUAGAGCCUCUAAGCAUUGUUGGAUCCAAUUUAGGGACAAGAAUUGAUCCGGGAUCCGGGAUCCGAGAUCCGAGUUUGUUGAUAGUUUGGUUAAACAAUUCGAUACAUCGGAUCGAAAAGCUUGUAAAGAAACCGAUAAGGGUUCGGAUGAGUGGUGUUAGUGGUGGUGGUGAUUUUCCAGUUUGGAUAAAUGUUUAAGAGAAAAGGCAAGUUUUUGUACCAAGAGAACCAUGGGAAAAAUAAAGAGAAAAUGAAGACUUUUGUUGUGUUUGGGUUUAUGAU
Molecule: long non-coding RNA, 21506 nt
Filed under: Panax ginseng (ginseng)
Lineage: Eukaryota; Viridiplantae; Streptophyta; Magnoliopsida; Apiales; Araliaceae
Description: long non-coding RNA (PGIN_LNC005860)
Rfam family: Plant small nucleolar RNA R71 (bases 18130-18236)
Source: RNAcentral